GACGAACGCUGGCGGCGUGCUUAACACAUGCAAGUCGAACGCUGAAGCUCAGCUUUUGUUGGGUGGAUGAGUGGCGAACGGGUGAGUAACACGUGAGUAACCUGCCCCCUUCUUUGGGAUAACGCCCGGAAACGGGUGCUAAUACUGGAUAUUCACUGGUCUUCGCAUGGGGGCUGGUGGAAAGGGUUUUUCUGGUGGGGGAUGGGCUCGCGGCCUAUCGGCUUGUUGGUGGGGUGAUGGCCUACCAAGGCUUUGACGGGUAGCCGGCCUGAGAGGGUGACCGGUCACAUUGGGACUGAGAUACGGCCCAGACUCCGACGGGAGGCAGCAGUGGGGAAUAUUGCACAAUGGGCGCAAGCCUGAUGCAGCGACGCCGCGUGAGGGAUGGAGGCCGUCGGGUUGUGAACCUCUUUCGCUCAUGGUCAAGCCGCAACAAUGGUUGUGGUGAGGGUAGUGGGUAAAGAAGCGCCGGCUAACUACGUG
This 483-nucleotide ribosomal RNA is filed under the name uncultured bacterium. RNAcentral describes it as "partial 16S ribosomal RNA". It matches the Rfam family "Bacterial small subunit ribosomal RNA", at positions 28 to 507 of the family's 1533-position model. The record is from RNAcentral.